This 1347-nucleotide ribosomal RNA is filed under the name uncultured rumen bacterium. RNAcentral describes it as "bacterial SSU rRNA". It matches the Rfam family "Bacterial small subunit ribosomal RNA", at positions 43 to 1377 of the family's 1533-position model. The record is from RNAcentral.
CAGGCCUAACACAUGCAAGUCGAACGGAAAUUUAUCGCUGAAGUGGGUUUACUCAAUUCUUGAUAAAUUUUAGUGGCGGACGGGUGAGUAACGCGUGGGUAACCUGCCUUACACUGGGGGACAACAGUUGGAAACGACUGCUAAUACCGCAUAAGCGCACAGAAUCGCAUGAUUCAGUGUGAAAAACUCCGGUGGUGUAAGAUGGACCCGCGUCUGAUUAGCUAGUUGGUGAGGUAACGGCCCACCAAGGCGACGAUCAGUAGCCGGCCUGAGAGGGUGAACGGCCACAUUGGAACUGAGACACGGUCCAAACUCCUACGGGAGGCAGCAGUAAGGAGUUUUCGGCAAUGGGGGAAACCCUGACCGAGCAACGCCGCGUGAGCGAUGACGGCCCUAUGGGUUGUAAAGCUCUGUUGUAAGCCAUGAAUGACAGCUUGAGGAAAUGCAAGUUGUUUGACGACAGCUUACCAGAAAGCCACGGCUAACUACGUGCCAGCAGCCGCGGUAAUACGUAGGUGGCAAGCGUUAUCCGGAAUUAUUGGGCGUAAAGAGUGAGCAGGCGGUUAAUUAAGUCUGAGGUUAAAGCGUGGGGCUCAACCCCAUAAAGCCUUGGAAACUGAUUGACUAGAGUACGGGAGAAGUGAAGGGAACUCCAUGUGUAGCGGUGAAAUGCGUAGAUAUAUGGAAGAACACCAGUGGCGAAGGCGCUUCACUAGCCCGAAACUGACGCUCAGUCACGAAAGCGUGGGUAGCAAAUAGGAUUAGAUACCCUAGUAGUCCACGCUGUAAACGAUGACAACUAAAUAUUGCCGCGAGGCAGUGUUGAAGCUAACGCAUUAAGUUGUCCGCCUGGGGAGUACGGUCGCAAGACUGAAACUUAAAGGAAUUGACGGGGACCCGCACAAGCAGUGGAGCAUGUGGUUUAAUUCGACGCAACGCGAAGAACCUUACCAGGGCUUGACAUAUUGAUUACUACCUUCUAAGAGAUUAGAAGAGACUAUAAAUACAGGUGGUGCAUGGUUGUCGUCAGCUCGUGUCGUGAGAUGUUGGGUUAAGUCCCGCAACGAGCGCAACCCCUUUCCUUAGUUGCCAUCAUUCAGUUGGGAACUCUAAGGAUACUGCCGAUGUAAGUCGGAGGAAGGUGGGGAUGACGUCAAAUCAUCAUGCCCUUUAUGUCCUGGGCGACACACGUGCUACAAUGGCCGGUACAAAGAGACGCGAAUCCGCGAGGAGGAGCAAAUCCCAUAAAGCAGGUCUCAGUUCGGAUAAGAGUCUGCAACUCGACUCUUUGAAGCUGGAAUUGCUAGUAAUCGCGAAUCAGCCAUGUCGCGGUGAAUACGUUCCCGG